GCCGGGCAUGGUGGCGGGCGCCUGUAGUCCCAGCUACUCGGAGGCUGAGGCAGGAGAAUCGCUUGAAUCCGGGAGGCAGAGGUUGCAGUGAGCUGAGAUGGCGCCACUGCACUCUAGCCUGGGCAACAGAGCGAAACUCUGUCUCAA
Molecule: non-coding RNA, 147 nt
Filed under: Nomascus leucogenys (northern white-cheeked gibbon)
Lineage: Eukaryota; Metazoa; Chordata; Mammalia; Primates; Hylobatidae
Source: Rfam by way of RNAcentral